RNAcentral lists this ribosomal RNA (451 nucleotides) under uncultured bacterium. RNAcentral describes it as "bacterial SSU rRNA". It matches the Rfam family "Bacterial small subunit ribosomal RNA", at positions 29 to 524 of the family's 1533-position model. The record is from RNAcentral.
AACGAACGCCGGCGGCAUGCUUAACACAUGCAAGUCGAAUGAUGGCUUCGGCCAUAGUGGCGGACGGGUGAGUAGCGCGUGGGAACCUGCCCCGAGGUACGGAAUAACCGCUGGAAACGGCGGCUAAUACCGUAUGAGCCCUGAGGGGGAAAGAUUUAUCGCCUUGGGAGGGGCCCGCGUCCGAUUAGGUAGUUGGUGAGGUAAAGGCUCACCAAGCCUGCGAUCGGUAGCUGGUCUGAGAGGAUGAUCAGCCACACUGGGACUGAGACACGGCCCAGACUCCUACGGGAGGCAGCAGUGGGGAAUAUUGGACAAUGGGGGGCAACCCUGAUCCAGCAAUGCCGCGUGAGUGAUGAAGGCCUUCGGGUUGUAAAGCUCUUUCACCCUCGACGAUGAUGACGGUAGUGGGAGAAGAAGCCCCGGCUAACUUCGUGCCAGCAGCCGCGGUAAU